Macrobrachium nipponense is the source of this 2222-nucleotide RNA transcript. It is a transcript of the gene named inositol monophosphatase 1-like, with no coding region annotated. Lineage: Eukaryota; Metazoa; Arthropoda; Malacostraca; Decapoda; Palaemonidae. The transcript is spliced from 7 exons. The record is from RefSeq and is a predicted model, not a curated record.
UGACAACAUCCGAAUUCCAAACAAGUGACAAGUCAAGUGGCACUGAACCUGGAGAGUGCCGGUAAUCGUGACACUACUCUGUCAAAGCGUUUCUGAACGACUUUCAAGAAGUUUUAGAUUACUGCAACAUAAUCCUAUCACAAAAAUGGCCGAGUUUGAUGUACAAGAGUGUUACAAGGUUGCUAUGGAGCUUGUCAAAACAGCGGGCAAGCUGGUACGUGAAGCUAUCAACAAAAAGAAGAAUAUUGAGAUAAAAAGUUGUGCUAUUGAUUUGGUUACCGAGUCCGAUAAGGCCGUAGAGAAGCUCUUGAUAUCCGGUCUAUCUAGUUCAUUCCCUGAUCACAAAUUCAUUGGUGAAGAGUCUGUGUCUGCUGGAGAGAAAUGUGUUUUUACUGAUGCUCCUACUUGGAUUAUUGAUCCUAUUGAUGGAACAAUGAACUUUGUUCACUCUUUUCCUCACACCUGCAUUUCAGUAGGUCUUUGGGUUAACAAAGAUGCUGAAUUAGGCAUUGUGUACAAUCCUGUCCUAGAGCAAAUGUUUACAGCAAUCAAGGGUGAAGGUGCUUUUCUGAAUGGAGAAAAGCUCUCAGUUUCUGGCGAGACAGAACUUGCAAAGUCCCUCAUAUUUGCUGAAAUGGGAUCAAGUCAGGAUGCAGAAAAAAUGGAUACAGUUAUUACCAACUUGACUACUCUUUUGCCCAAAGUCCAUGGCUUGCGUGGUAUAGGGUCUGCUGCUCUUGAUAUGUGUUAUGUAGCUGCAGGUUGGGGUGAGGCCUAUUAUCACUUUGGAUUGUGCUGUUGGGACAUGGCUGCUGGAUAUCUCAUAGUGAGAGAGGCCGGGGGGGUUGUCUAUGACUCUGCAGAUUACGUGCCAUGGGAUCGUGUGCAUUGAACAUGUGCUAUGUAGCCACGGGAGGUGGUGAUGCCUACUAUGAAUUUGGGAUUCAUGCUUGGGAUACAGCUGCUGCAUACUUGGUGGUGAAAGAGGCAGGGGGAGUCAUUGUUGAUACAGAGGGUGGCCCAUUUGACCUCAUGAAUCGUCGAGUUCUCUGUGCUUCCACGCAGCAGCUGGCUGAGACUUUGUCCAAGAUUCUGAAACAGUACCAGCCAGAAAGAGAUGGUGUUUCCAAAUAAAGUUGUAUGGUUUGUAAAGCAAGAGGCAACAUGCAAUGGAAAUAUUUAACAAAAUUUAUCAUUCUGUUGAUUGUACACCUUUCUUUCAUAAGUGCAAUGAUUGCACUGUUCAGUUUUUCUUCAUGUUAUUCAAGUGCAUCACAUAUUGAACACCAAAGGUUGCUAUAAUAAGAUUUUUUUAUUUACUGUGCAAUAUUUUAUGUUUUGGAAUGUUAUAUUUAUUUUUCUAUAUUAAUAGAAGGCUGUUGCUUGUAUGUUCAGGAGGAAAUAGAAGAGUAAUAAAUUUCAGUAUGUCAAUGAAGUAGGUGUUGAAUCAAAAUUGGUGUAGUAGUAUUAGUUUAUAGAGAAGUCUAAUGUGAAUUGUAAUGAAAAUGAUUAAAUAAUUACCCAUGCUUGUGCUUAAUGAAAUAUGAAUGAAAAAACUCGGAGUAGAUAGCAAGUGUGUAGUACCUUGAACUCAUCACCAAAGAAUUGAAGAGAAAGGGAAAUACCGUGCAGCUUUUAAGGAUGCAAAGGAGGUAUUUUAAGGAAGUGUUUUAAGGUAUACUGAGCAGAACAAUGUACAUCUUUUACAUUUAGGAGUGUUUUCUGGAGAUUUUUUAAAAUUUCAAAUCAUGUACUUACCUCAUGGUCUAAGUAGUACUUAAUACUAUUCACUGACUAGAUCAUUUCAGGACUAAGUGGAGAAUAUUUUUUUUUAGAUUGUAACAUAUUUUUUUAAAUAGACUAAUGUUCUCAUGAUAACAGGGUGCCUUUAUCUUCAAACUGGUGGAAAUUUGAUUAUGACCAGGUAAUGUGGAAGAUUAAGUUUUAUUUUAUUGUUGAACAUCCAUUUUUAAGGUAUCAGAUAAUUACAAGUACUGCAAGGUAUUCCUGUAACUCUUACUCAUAUCACUCUUCCAGCCUUCUAGUCAUGAUUUGUGUUGCAGUAUAGGCUUUUGUGGAAUUAUUUGUGGUAAUGCCAUAAAUAAGAUAUGCUGUAGACUGGUUAUGGAAAGAACUGGUGUCUACAAUAGAGUUUACUUAUUCUUGUUUAUUUUGUCAUUGUUUUGUCAAAAUUCUUCUAUGUGAUUAAACGCAAAACAAAG